This 454-nucleotide ribosomal RNA is filed under the name uncultured bacterium. RNAcentral's name for it is "bacterial SSU rRNA". It matches the Rfam family "Bacterial small subunit ribosomal RNA", at positions 349 to 793 of the family's 1533-position model. The record is from RNAcentral.
CAGCAGUGGGGAAUAUUGCACAAUGGGGGAAACCCUGAUGCAGCCAUGCCGCGUGUGUGAAGAAGGCCUUCGGGUUGUAAAGCACUUUCAGUAGGGAGGAAGGUAGUGUAGUUAACACCUGCAUUAUUUGACGUUACCUACAGAAGAAGCACCGGCUAACUCCGUGCCAGCAGCCGCGGUAAUACGGAGGGUGCGAGCGUUAAUCGGAAUUACUGGGCGUAAAGCGCAUGCAGGCGGCCUGUUAAGUCAGAUGUGAAAGCCCGGGGCUUAACCUCGGAAUUGCAUUUGAAACUAGGCAGGCUAGAGUCUUGUAGAGGGGGGUAGGAAUUUCAGGUGUAGCGGUGAAAUGCGUAGAGAUCUGAAGGAAUACCAGUGGCGAAGGCGGCCCCCUGGACAAAGACUGACGCUCAGAUGCGAAAGCGUGGGGAGCAAACAGGAUUAGAUACCCUGGUAG